UUUUAGAUAAACACAUCAGUCAUUAGUUCGGUAAACUACAGAUAACUAUCUUGGUCAUUAUUUACUCUCUGAGGAUCGCCUCCGCUAUUUCGCAACGGUCAUUGGUUCAGCUGUUUACACGCGUUUCACCAUCUAAUAACACAAUUUGUGAUUGGACGACAGAAUCAACAUGGCUGCCACCGUCUAACAAGCGCCGCUUCCAAAACAGUAAAUAAUUAUUUAGGUAUUUGAGAAAUAAGUGGAUAAAACGUACAACUAUCACUUUAUAAUGUUUCUGAAGUGUUUCCCUGAUGGAUUACUUCUCUCCUCGAUGGAUUCUAAAAACACGUGACGGCUCGUAACUGCUGAACGUCGCUCUGGACAGAAAUAAAUGACAUGCUGAAGUGAAGUGGUUUGGCUCCUGAAAAACUUCAAGAGAUGGUUGACUGGUUGAAAGUCAACAAAUACCCAGUCUCUUAAGUUGAAGAUUACAUGAAGGAAACGGUUAUACCGAGGCAAGUGGAUCCGUAGUAAUGGAUCUAAAAGCAUCCCAGAAAUACUGAAGGAGUUCCCCAGGCUUGUUGACAAUCCUGGCAUGAUAUCACAAGACUUCCAGUAGCUUCAUCCAGAGGCAGCAGGAAACCUUUUGAAAACUGGGCUGCUAUCAGUGACAGAAUCCUUGCUUAUGUCAAGCGUGAAGGAAAACUGAAUGUAGCACUGGAUGACAUGACACCAGCUGCCAACGGCGAGAGAGCCCUAAAGCUGCUGCCAACCCUGCUUCCUCCUUCAAUUUAUAGAGACAGAGGAAAAGUGUGCAGACCGACGAUUGAGGAGUCACAGAGGGCCUUUAUUGAAACUCAGCCUGUAGCAAUUUGCAUUUAAGGUACAUUACCGCAGAGACAUAAUAAAGAGUAGACGCCGCAGUGGCUGCUGGGGCGCAAGAAAUGCGGCCGCCAUCUUGAACCGGUCAUCCUACCAAAGCAGCAGAAGAUACAAGAUGCCUGAGCACUGUGCGGCGUAUUCCUGUUCAAAUCGGCGGACUAUUGAAAACAAGGCUCGGGGGAUUACUUUUCACAAGUGGCUGUGUUUGGUGGAUGACAAGCCUGGCCGGAACAAGAUGAUGCUGGAUAUGCUGGAGAGAAAAUGCCAGGAAGACCAGGCUAAAUAUGGAUGUGUUGCACUCAUGUUGGAUGCCAUGGCCAUCAGAAAACAAUGUAAUCCACAUACCCAGUCAGUGUCUGGUUUUGUAGACAUGGGUGAUGGAAACAGUGAGCCUGAUGUUGCUAUGGUGCUGUUGAUAUGAAUUAUACUGAUACUCUCUCUA
Molecule: long non-coding RNA, 1303 nt
Organism: Epinephelus moara (kelp grouper)
Lineage: Eukaryota; Metazoa; Chordata; Actinopteri; Perciformes; Serranidae
Exons: 6
Source: RefSeq, a predicted model, not a curated record